GGUGGCUCAGUGGUAGAGCGCUUGCCUUGCAUGCAAGAGGCCCUAGGUUCGAUUCCUCAGCACCA
RNAcentral lists this transfer RNA (65 nucleotides) under Dipodomys ordii (Ord's kangaroo rat). It matches the Rfam family "tRNA". From Rfam's summary of the family: Transfer RNA (tRNA) molecules are approximately 80 nucleotides in length. Their secondary structure includes four short double-helical elements and three loops (D, anti-codon, and T loops). Further hydrogen bonds mediate the characteristic L-shaped molecular structure. tRNAs have two regions of fundamental functional importance: the anti-codon, which is responsible for specific mRNA codon recognition, and the 3' end, to which the tRNAs corresponding amino acid is attached (by aminoacyl-tRNA synthetases). tRNAs cope with the degeneracy of the genetic code in two manners: having more than one tRNA (with a specific anti-codon) for a particular amino acid; and 'wobble' base-pairing, i.e. permitting non-standard base-pairing at the 3rd anti-codon position. Lineage: Eukaryota; Metazoa; Chordata; Mammalia; Rodentia; Heteromyidae. The record is from Rfam by way of RNAcentral.